AAAUGAGCUAAAUUGAACUUCCCUAAUGAGUACAGGGGUGAAAUUGAACAUUUUGCCUAAUAAUAUAUACCCUACCCAAAUACCAUGGAAAGGUGAAGCAAGAUUGAUAACUACCAAUCACUUUGAGCCCAAUUAUACAUUUUGAAAUUAGCCCAUCUAUACUAAUGAAUCCAUAUCAGAUAUGCUUUGACCAGAUGAAUUAUUUUUCAUGGGAGAAAGGUAUGUAAAUAAGAUUGCGUCUGAAUCCAAGCUAGGUAACAGGAUUCUCCUGAUGUUCAAUUUACAAUAUAUAAUGAAGUGUCAUG
Molecule: unclassified non-coding RNA, 305 nt
Filed under: Hevea brasiliensis (rubber tree)
Lineage: Eukaryota; Viridiplantae; Streptophyta; Magnoliopsida; Malpighiales; Euphorbiaceae
Source: RNAcentral